CAAACUGCGGCUUCUCGACUCUUCCACUGAUGAUAGUGGCGUCGCUAUUAUAAGUCACCAUUUCCUAUCGGAAAGUCCACCACCAUAUCUCUUCGCAAACGGCGAAUCUCUCUAUAAUCACUUCCUUCGUUUCUGCUGUCAGUAAGUUUUUGCAGCUUUAUCUAAUCCGAUAUUCUUUGACUGUGAGAAUCAAUCAACGAUGACUCAUAUCCUUCCGUAGAUCAGCUUUUUCUCCACGAUUCCGACGGUUUGUUGUUUCUUAGCUCUGUUUGGUUUUCCCGGGAAAACCAAAGAAAAAAAAAAUUAUUAACUUUCCGAUCUUGCACAGAAGAACGAGAAUUAAAGAUUUUGAAGCUUGAUUUUCCUCGAUUUGUUUUUCCUCGGGAACCAAACAGAUAACAUAUGUGGAAUUUGAUAGCUAAAAGGAAUGGUUUUGUUUCGUGAUCUUGUUUCUCUGUUUGUUUGGCUUUAACUGAAGCGAACGCGGUAACCAGAGAAACCGAGACCGUGAGCGGGCCCAGGCCCGUUACGGUAGCAAGCCCAGGCAUCCCAAAAGCGACGGUCUCACCCCGGAGCAACGCCGUGAAAGGGAUGCGAAAGCGCUACAGGAAAAGGCGGCGAGGAAAGCGG
Molecule: long non-coding RNA, 630 nt
Organism: Alnus glutinosa
Lineage: Eukaryota; Viridiplantae; Streptophyta; Magnoliopsida; Fagales; Betulaceae
Exons: 3
Source: RefSeq, a predicted model, not a curated record